This 352-nucleotide RNase P RNA is filed under the name bovine gut metagenome. RNAcentral describes it as "Bacterial RNase P class A". It matches the Rfam family "Bacterial RNase P class A". Rfam says of the family: Ribonuclease P (RNase P) is a ubiquitous endoribonuclease, found in archaea, bacteria and eukarya as well as chloroplasts and mitochondria. The record is from RNAcentral.
GCGGGCAAUCGCGGCGGAAACGGUCUUCCGCUUCCGCUGAGGAAAGUCCGGACUGCACAGAGCGGGGAGUCCUUUCGAUAAGGAAGGAUGCCGCGGACGAUAUGCCGCGGAAAGACCAGUGCAACAGAGAGCAGACCGCCGCCGCUCGUCGGCGGUAAGGGUGAAAGGGUGGGGUAAGAGCCCACCGGAAGGCGGGCGAGAGCCGCUUCGCUGAGGUAAACUCCUCCCGCAGCAAGACCAAAUAGGGGACGAGCCGUGGCUCGCGGCGCUUGAGUCCCGGGUUCUGGUCGCACAGACAGAUGAUUGCCGCCGUUCCUUCGGGGAGCGGUACGGAAUCCGGCUUACAGCCGCG